RNAcentral lists this unclassified non-coding RNA (1792 nucleotides) under Hevea brasiliensis (rubber tree). Lineage: Eukaryota; Viridiplantae; Streptophyta; Magnoliopsida; Malpighiales; Euphorbiaceae. The record is from RNAcentral.
CUGAAAAAUUAACAAAUUAUUUAUGUUAUUAUACAUAGAGGAGCUAGAAGGCAAAAAAAGAAAGUAGACUAUUAGUUAAAUGUAAAAACUCUCAGUGAGGGGAGAGCAAAACUAGUUUUAUCAAAUGGUAAUUUCUAAAAUACAUCCCUAUCUAUCUUAUCCUAGGUUCAGGAAGUGCCCCAAAAAACAGCCUUCGUUCGUAUCAAUUUCUAUUAUCAGUCCUGCUGCACAUCAUUCCCUUCAACACCCUCGUCAUUCUUGUACGUUUUGAUAUCAAGAGUUUUCCGGUAUUUGCUGCUGGUUGUAUUGAAAUUUAAGGCAGAUGAACAGCAGCUUAUUAGUAUGGUGUGGAUUUACUAAAGGAAUGCAAACCUGUUAGCUGACACCAGGCUGCAUCAUAGGGAAGAUCCAGUUAUUGCAGGGCUCCUUUCCAAGAACUUUCUCGUUGGCCCACCAGUCAGAGCCAAUAGUAGCUUUAUCAGGAUAUCCUCCGUCUACAUUGUCAAAGUUAAAUUCCUUCGAGGAUCCAAGAGUGAUGGACCUGUGCUUCUGCUGCCUCUGUCCAUCCUCUCCGUCAGUAGAUGAUCCCUCGUGUAUUUCUCUGGAAGGCUCAUGUCCACUGUGAUCGUGUGCAUUUGACAUUUCAGCCAGGUUUUCCUGUCGUUUAGUGCUACGCUCAGUAUCCUGGAGAGACACUGAUCCAGUUCUCAUCAUCAUAGUUGGCUUCUUUUCCACACACCUCACAACAUCUUCUGCAGUAAUCUCGAAAGAAACUCUAUGAUCAACCACUGUUAGAUCGUUUUUCCAACCAUUAAAGGGCUUUGGAAAACGAUGAACACCAGUGUUCUGAUAAUUGAGAAGGAAACUAUCGUGAUAUUUGGGGUUUACUGCCUCAGGGGUCAAAGUCCCAGAUCCUUGCCGAGAUCCCCACUCGUGAGGGGCUAUUUUCUCCAGGUUCAGGAACUGAGGGCGUCCAGGAGUAUACUCACGCUCAAGAAAAGGAGAUGAAGUUCCAGAUACAGAGAUGGCUGACCCAGGCGAGAUCAAGUUACUGACUGGACUCCCUGGUUGAAGUUGGUAUGACUGAAAUUCAUACUGGGCAAAAGGAUAUCUGUGACCAGCAGCAACAUUCUGGUAGUUGGGGUCAAGCAGCUUAGCAAAUGGUACCUCAGGUGAUGAGGGUGUAGUCAAGUGGACUGACUCAGGAGGAGGGGUAAAUGGAGCAGUAGAUGGUUCAGUAGUGAAGGUUGAGAAAACAGGUGGGGAAACUAACUGUGUUUCAUGAGCAUAGGGACCAAUUGCAAAAAUAGACGCAGUCCCACCGGGAGAAUAUGCAUUGAUAGAGAGGGCUUUGAGAGAGAGUAAUCCAGCGGGUGACUGGGUAGCAGAAGGAGGAUCAGACGGAAGAAAGGAUGCAGGAGAAGAAGGAGGAGCUAUAAAAGGAAUUACAAUGGUGGCUGAGUGGUUUGGAUUUUCAGUAACUGGAACAGCAGGUCCAGGUGCUACAGGUUCAGGAACAAGGACGGCAUGACCAAUUCUUUUGCUGUGCUUGUGAGAACCAAAACACCAGUAUAGACUCCAGCAGCUUCCCCAUCUUCUCUUCUGAACUGUAGACGGUUGAACUCUACUCUCUGCAUUAACUAUAGCCGAAGCGGCAGCAUUUACAGUAUCUACAGUAUUCUGUACGCUACUCAUCCUUGAAGAAAAAAAACUACAAUUUUUUAAAAAAUACAAAUUCUGUUCUCCGGCGAAGAAUUAUAGAUUUUCCGGUAACUGAACCGCCGGAGUUUUU